CAGACUUGGGCAGGGUGAACUAUGGUUUCUUCUAGAGGAUUUGGCUCCAUCAAGUUGAGAGGAACAAGAGAGACCUGGGACCAGAGGAUGACUGAUCAUUUCAGCAAUGUUAUGAUCAGAAAUCACUUGCCAAGCAAAGCCCUCCAGUCCCAGAUGCUGCUGCUUCCAUCAGCUGCCUACAGAAGGAUUGACUUAGG
Long non-coding RNA from Myxocyprinus asiaticus (Chinese sucker), 197 nucleotides. RefSeq lists it as uncharacterized. Lineage: Eukaryota; Metazoa; Chordata; Actinopteri; Cypriniformes; Catostomidae. The record is from RefSeq and is a predicted model, not a curated record. The transcript is spliced from 3 exons.